GAUGAACGCUGGCGGCGUGCCUAAUACAUGCAAGUCGAGCGAACGGACGAGAAGCUUGCUUUUCUGAUGUUAGCGGCGGACGGGUGAGUAGCACGUGGAUAACCUACCUAUAAGACUGGGAUAACUUCGGGAAACCGGAGCUAAUACCGGAUAAUAUUUUGAACCGCACGGUUCAAAAGUGAAAGACGGUCUUGCUGUCACUUAUAGAUGGAUCCGCGCUGCAUUAGCUAGUUGGUAAGGUAACGGCUUACCAAGGCAACGAUGCAUAGCCGACCUGAGAGGGUGAUCGGCCACACUGGAACUGAGACACGGUCCAGACUCCUACGGGAGGCAGCAGUAGGGAAUCUUCCGCAAUGGGCGAAAGCCUGACGGAGCAACGCCGCGUGAGUGAUGAAGGUCUUCGGAUCGUAAAACUCUGUUAUUAGGGAAGAACAUAUGUGUAAGUAACUGUGCACAUCUUGACGGUACCUAAUCAGAAAGCCACGGCUAACUACGUG
Molecule: ribosomal RNA, 497 nt
Filed under: uncultured bacterium
Lineage: Bacteria
Description: partial 16S ribosomal RNA
Rfam family: Bacterial small subunit ribosomal RNA
Source: RNAcentral